RNAcentral lists this ribosomal RNA (496 nucleotides) under uncultured bacterium. RNAcentral's name for it is "partial 16S ribosomal RNA". It matches the Rfam family "Bacterial small subunit ribosomal RNA", at positions 28 to 506 of the family's 1533-position model. The record is from RNAcentral.
GAUGAACGCUGGCGGCGUGCCUAAUACAUGCAAGUCGAGCGAACGGACGAGGAGCUUGCUGCUCGGACGUUAGCGGCGGACGGGUGAGUAACACGUGGAAAACCUACCUAUAAGACUGGGAUAACCUGGGGAAACCGGAGCUAAUACCGGAGAAUAUUUUGAUCCGCAGGGGUGAAAAGAAAGAGACGGUGUUGCGGGAACGAAUAGAGGGAUCCGGGCUGGAUUAGGGAGUUGGGAGGGUAACGGCUUUCCAAGGCGACGGUGCAUAGCCGACCUGAGAGGGUGUUCGGCCCCUCUGGAGCUGAGACGCGGUCCAGGCUCCGACGGGCGGCAGCGGUUGCUAAUCUACCGCAAUGGGCGGAAGCCUGACGGAGCGGCGGCGGGUGGGUGAUGAAGGUCUGCGGGCCGUAAAACUGUGUUAUUGGGGUAGAACAUAUGUGUAAGUGACUGUGCGCAUCUUGCCGGUACCUGUUCAGAAGGCCCCGGCUACCUCCGU